GUAAGGAAUAUUGGUCAAUGGAGGCAACUCUGAACCAGCCAUGCCGCGUGCAGGAAGACGGCCCUCUGGGUUGUAAACUGCUUUUAUACGGGAAUAAACCUUCGGUCGUGACCGAAGCUGAAUGUACUGUAAGAAUAAGGAUCGGCUAACUCCGUGCCAGCAGCCGCGGUAAUACGGAGGAUCCAAGCGUUAUCCGGAUUUAUUGGGUUUAAAGGGUGCGUAGGCGGCCUGUUAAGUCAGGGGUGAAAGACGGUAGCUCAACUAUCGCAGUGCCCUUGAUACUGACGGGCUUGAAUGAACUAGAGGUAGGCGGAAUGUGACAAGUAGCGGUGAAAUGCAUAGAUAUGUCACAGAACACCGAUUGCGAAGGCAGCUUACUAUGGUUUUAUUGACGCUGAGGCACGAAAGCGUGGGGAUCAAACAGGAUUAGAAACCCUAGUAGUCC
This 445-nucleotide ribosomal RNA is filed under the name uncultured bacterium. RNAcentral's name for it is "bacterial SSU rRNA". It matches the Rfam family "Bacterial small subunit ribosomal RNA", at positions 354 to 796 of the family's 1533-position model. The record is from RNAcentral.